GGGGAUAUGGCGCAGAUGGUAGCGCACCUGCAUGGCAUGCAGGGGGUCAAGGGUUCGAAUCCCUUUAUCUCCA
RNAcentral lists this transfer RNA (73 nucleotides) under Paeniglutamicibacter antarcticus. Its description in RNAcentral is "tRNA-Ala". It matches the Rfam family "tRNA". Rfam says of the family: Transfer RNA (tRNA) molecules are approximately 80 nucleotides in length. Their secondary structure includes four short double-helical elements and three loops (D, anti-codon, and T loops). RNAcentral also lists the same sequence under 1 other name. The record is from RNAcentral. Lineage: Bacteria; Bacillati; Actinomycetota; Actinomycetes; Micrococcales; Micrococcaceae.